Long non-coding RNA from Oncorhynchus keta (chum salmon), 589 nucleotides. RefSeq lists it as uncharacterized. The transcript has 3 exons. The record is from RefSeq and is a predicted model, not a curated record. Lineage: Eukaryota; Metazoa; Chordata; Actinopteri; Salmoniformes; Salmonidae.
GACCUUACAGUGAAAUGCUGAAUACAACAGGUGUAGUAGACCUAACAGUGAAAUGCUGAAUACAACAGGUGUAGUAGACCUCACAGUGAAAUGCUGAAUACAACAGGUGUAGUAGACCUAACAGUGAAAUGCUGAAUACAACAGGUGUAGUAGACCUAACAGUGAAAUGCUGAAUACAACAGGUGUAGUAGACCUAACAGUGAAAUGCUGAAUACAACAGGUGUAGUAGACCUUACAGUGAAAUGCCGAAUACAACAGGUGUAGUAGACCUUACAGUGAAAUGCUGAAUACAACAGGUGUAGUAGACCUUACAGUGAAAUGCCGAAUACAACAGGUGUAGUAGACCUUACAGUGGAAUGCCGAAUACAACAGGUGUAGUAGACCUCACAGUGAAAUGCUGAAUACAACAGGCUCUAACCAAUAGUGCAACAAAGGUAUUAGAUGAACAAUAGGUAGGUAAAGAAAUAAAACACCAGUAAAAAGACAGACUAUAUACAGUAGUGAGGCUAUAAAAGUAGCAAGGCUAUAUACAGUAGAGAGGCUAUAUACAGUAGAGAGGCUAUAAAAGUAGCGAGGCUAUAUACAGACA